GAACGAGAAAGUGGAGCAAUCCAUGAGUAAAGUGGCGACCGGGUGAGUAACACGUGACUAACCUACCUCCGAGUGGGGAAUAACUCCGGGAAACCGGGGCUAAUACCGCAUAACAUCGCAAGAUCAAAGCAGCAAUGCGCUUGGAGAGGGGGUCGCGGCUGAUUAGCUCGUUGGCGGGGUAAUGGCCCACCAAGGCGAAGAUCGGUAUCCGGCCUGAGAGGGCGCACGGACACACUGGAACUGAAACACGGUCCAGACUCCUACGGGAGGCAGCAGUGGGGAAUUUUGCGCAAUGGGGGAAACCCUGACGCAGCAACGCCGCGUGGAGGAUGAAGCCCUUUGGGGCGUAAACUCCUUUCGACCAAGACGAUAAUGACGGUACUGGUGGAAGAAGCACCGGCUAACUCUGUG
Molecule: ribosomal RNA, 411 nt
Filed under: uncultured bacterium
Lineage: Bacteria
Description: bacterial SSU rRNA
Rfam family: Bacterial small subunit ribosomal RNA
Source: RNAcentral